AUGGAUACCACCUCGGGCCAGACCCACGCUCACAGGCAGGCCAGUGCCACCCAGGCCGAGCCCAUCAAGACUCGGCCUGUGGGUGUCUAGGGCACUGCAGCCCUGGUCGUGGUUGCCCUAGGCUAUCCGGCGCGGCCACAGGGCUGCCAGCCCCGGCCGAGCCACCGACUCCUCCCCGGCGAAGAGGUGGUGGCGCCACCGUGAAAGAAAAGCCAGAGAAGGAAGAAAAGAAAGAAAGAAAAAUAAAAUAAAAUAAAAAGUAAAAGCUCACCAGACCCUUGAGCCUUCAUCCUCUCCAGCCUUACCUUGCCGGGGACGGAGCGGGUAAAGACUCUCGGGUGUAGUCCGGAUCUCGACCUCAUCUCCGAACCUCCUUCCCCUCUCCGACAUCACUUCGAAGAAGAGGAAGGGCCGGCCUUUUGCUGAUACUGCUCCGAGGUGGGAACCCCGACUCGGCCGGAGGGCCAGGGAAGUCCCAUCCUGGUCGCCGACAAGAGGAAGGGGAGAAGACGACUAGGGUUCCGGUGGAGAAGAAGGAGAGGGAG
This 545-nucleotide long non-coding RNA is filed under the name Phoenix dactylifera (date palm). Its description in RNAcentral is "long non-coding RNA (PDAC_LNC022056)". Lineage: Eukaryota; Viridiplantae; Streptophyta; Magnoliopsida; Arecales; Arecaceae. The record is from RNAcentral.